GGUGAAAGCUUUACAUCUCUUCGGUAGCAUUUUACGAGGUGCUGCAUGGUUGUCGUCAGCUCGUGCCGUGAGGUGUCGGGUUAAGUCCCAUAACGAGCGCAACCCUACCUUUAGUUGCCAUCAGGUAAUGCUGGGGACGUCUAAAGGAACUGCCUACGCAAGUAGUGAGGAAGGCGGGGAUGACGUCAAAUCAGCACGGCCCUUACGUCCAGGGCUACACACGUGCUACAAUGGCCGAUACAGAGGGCAGCUACCUGGUGACAGGAUGCAAAUCUCCAAAGUCGGUCUCAGUUCGGAUCGGAGUCUGCAACCCGACUCCGUGAAGUUGGAUUCGCUAGUAAUCGCGCAUCAGCCAUGGCGCGGUGAAUACGUUCCCGGGCCUU
Molecule: ribosomal RNA, 383 nt
Filed under: uncultured Sphingobacteriales bacterium
Lineage: Bacteria; Pseudomonadati; Bacteroidota; Sphingobacteriia; Sphingobacteriales
Description: bacterial SSU rRNA
Rfam family: Bacterial small subunit ribosomal RNA
Source: RNAcentral